This 1056-nucleotide ribosomal RNA is filed under the name Segatella copri. Its description in RNAcentral is "bacterial SSU rRNA". It matches the Rfam family "Bacterial small subunit ribosomal RNA", at positions 467 to 1533 of the family's 1533-position model. Lineage: Bacteria; Pseudomonadati; Bacteroidota; Bacteroidia; Bacteroidales; Prevotellaceae. The record is from RNAcentral.
UUUUGCAUGUACCUUAUGAAUAAGGACCGGCUAAUUCCGUGCCAGCAGCCGCGGUAAUACGGAAGGUCCGGGCGUUAUCCGGAUUUAUUGGGUUUAAAGGGAGCGUAGGCCGGAGAUUAAGCGUGUUGUGAAAUGUAGACGCUCAACGUCUGCACUGCAGCGCGAACUGGUUUCCUUGAGUACGCACAAAGUGGGCGGAAUUCGUGGUGUAGCGGUGAAAUGCUUAGAUAUCACGAAGAACUCCGAUUGCGAAGGCAGCUCACUGGAGCGCAACUGACGCUGAAGCUCGAAAGUGCGGGUAUCGAACAGGAUUAGAUACCCUGGUAGUCCGCACGGUAAACGAUGGAUGCCCGCUGUUGGUCUGAAUAGGUCAGCGGCCAAGCGAAAGCAUUAAGCAUCCCACCUGGGGAGUACGCCGGCAACGGUGAAACUCAAAGGAAUUGACGGGGGCCCGCACAAGCGGAGGAACAUGUGGUUUAAUUCGAUGAUACGCGAGGAACCUUACCCGGGCUUGAAUUGCAGAGGAAGGAUUUGGAGACAAUGACGCCCUUCGGGGUCUCUGUGAAGGUGCUGCAUGGUUGUCGUCAGCUCGUGCCGUGAGGUGUCGGCUUAAGUGCCAUAACGAGCGCAACCCCUCUCCUUAGUUGCCAUCAGGUCAAGCUGGGCACUCUGGGGACACUGCCACCGUAAGGUGUGAGGAAGGUGGGGAUGACGUCAAAUCAGCACGGCCCUUACGUCCGGGGCUACACACGUGUUACAAUGGCAGGUACAGAGAGAUGGUGUUCUGCAAAGCGCAUCUAAUCCUUAAAGCCUGUCUCAGUUCGGACUGGGGUCUGCAACCCGACCCCACGAAGCUGGAUUCGCUAGUAAUCGCGCAUCAGCCAUGGCGCGGUGAAUACGUUCCCGGGCCUUGUACACACCGCCCGUCAAGCCAUGAAAGCCGGGGGCGCCUAAAGUCCGUGACCGUAAGGAGCGGCCUAGGGCGAAACUGGUAAUUGGGGCUAAGUCGUAACAAGGUAGCCGUACCGGAAGGUGCGGCUGGAACACCUCCUUUCU